UCGAAAGCAUCUCGAGCUG
This 19-nucleotide small nuclear RNA is filed under the name Arabidopsis thaliana (thale cress). RNAcentral's name for it is "snRNA_18274". Lineage: Eukaryota; Viridiplantae; Streptophyta; Magnoliopsida; Brassicales; Brassicaceae. The record is from RNAcentral.